This 292-nucleotide ribosomal RNA is filed under the name uncultured bacterium. RNAcentral describes it as "partial 16S ribosomal RNA". It matches the Rfam family "Bacterial small subunit ribosomal RNA", at positions 505 to 796 of the family's 1533-position model. The record is from RNAcentral.
GUGCCAGCAGCCGCGGUAAUACGUAGGGUGCUAGCGUUGUUCGGAAUCAUUGGGCGUAAAGCGCGUGUAGGUGGCUUGCUAAGUCGAUUGUGAAAUCCCUAGGCUCAACCAAGGAAGUGCAUUCGAAACUAGCUCGCUCGAGGAUGGCAGAGGAAGGUGGAAUUCCAAGUGUAGAGGUGAAAUUCGUAGAUAUUUGGAGGAAUACCGGCGGCGAAGGCGGCCUUCUGGACCAUUCCUGACACUGAGACGCGAAAGCGUGGGGAGCAAACAGGAUUAGAUACCCUUGUAGUCC